Molecule: long non-coding RNA, 231 nt
Organism: Lontra canadensis (Northern American river otter)
Lineage: Eukaryota; Metazoa; Chordata; Mammalia; Carnivora; Mustelidae
Exons: 3
Source: RefSeq, a predicted model, not a curated record
AGUGGCUGUACAUUUUAUACGCUCACUAGCAGUGUUGGGCAGAACUUCCAAUUUCAAAGGCAGUGAAAUUGAAAAUAACUACUUGGCUUUGGGGCUGGCGGAUGGUCCACCUGCAGAUCCUUUCUCCCGGAUACACGUUAGGAUGAAAAGGUCAAGAGCCUGGGUCCCAGGGACAGAUGGGAUAGGGUGAGCAGAUCAGCAAAACUGCCAGCGACCCCAAACCAGCAUGUU